CAACCCUCGAGCCCCCGUGGCCCGGCGUUGGGGAUCUGCCACGGCAGGCCCCUAAAACCAGUGGCGGACCCGAAGGGCCCUCUCCUUUGCGCAGUAGCAUCAGCCUCGCAUUGGGAGCCCUCGGCGUCCUGCCUCUAAACCCCCCACAAGUCCGCCCAGCGGCACCAA
RNAcentral lists this unclassified non-coding RNA (168 nucleotides) under uncultured Sordariomycetes. RNAcentral's name for it is "sequence contains ITS2". Lineage: Eukaryota; Fungi; Ascomycota; Sordariomycetes. The record is from RNAcentral.